This 514-nucleotide ribosomal RNA is filed under the name uncultured bacterium. Its description in RNAcentral is "bacterial SSU rRNA". It matches the Rfam family "Bacterial small subunit ribosomal RNA", at positions 15 to 518 of the family's 1533-position model. The record is from RNAcentral.
GAUUAUGGCUCAGAACGAACGCUGGCGGCGCGUUUAAGCAUGCAAGUCGAGCGGCAGGGGGCUCGGUCCCCCGAGAGCGGCGGACGGGUGAGUAACACGUGGACAACCUGCCCCCCGGUUCGGGAUAGCCCAGGGAAACCUGGAUCAAUACCGGAUGCGAGGGCGGCCGCACAAGCGGCCGUCGGGAAAGGCGCUUCGGCGCCGCCGGGGGAUGGGUCCGCGUCCCAUUAGCUAGACGGUGGGGCAACGGCCCACCGUGGCGAUGAUGGGUAGCCGACCUGAGAGGGUGAUCGGCCACACUGGGACUGAGACACGGCCCAGACUCCUACGGGAGGCAGCAGUAGGGAAUCUUCCGCAAUGGACGAAAGUCUGACGGAGCAACGCCGCGUGAAGUGAUGAAGGUCUUCGGAUCGUAAAACUCUGUUGUCAGGGAAGAACAAGUCGUGUUCUAACAGGACAUGACCUUGACGGUACCUGACCAGAAAGCCCCGGCUAACUACGUGCCAGCCGCGGC